Long non-coding RNA from Lagopus muta (rock ptarmigan), 376 nucleotides. RefSeq lists it as uncharacterized. The transcript has 3 exons. Lineage: Eukaryota; Metazoa; Chordata; Aves; Galliformes; Phasianidae. The record is from RefSeq and is a predicted model, not a curated record.
GUGUGUGAGGUUUUGUGCUUUUGCUUAAGCAGAUGCAUGCUCUUAACAGAACUGUGGGAAUAUACUGGGGGAAGAGAAUUUCUGUAGGAGCAAAGGGAAUGAAAUGUUAUAAGUUAAUUUACUUUUAUUUACUUUUAGAAGUUAUAUCCUUGACUUAGCAUUUGCUGGUGAUGGCUAUUGAGACCACUGAAGGCAGCUGAGGUCUGCUGCAUGUUAAACAGAAGGUCAGGAAGCUGAACAAUCCAGGUAGAAAGUGACUGACACUUGUCCUUGUGGGAGGACUCUGCUGCAUAAGAAGAAUUACCAGAAAUGUCUGAUGCGUGACAGAGCUGCUUACAGAAAGCUGGAGGCAAAAGAUGCAAAGGGAUAUUUGCAU